This 253-nucleotide ribosomal RNA is filed under the name uncultured bacterium. RNAcentral's name for it is "partial 16S ribosomal RNA". It matches the Rfam family "Bacterial small subunit ribosomal RNA", at positions 524 to 776 of the family's 1533-position model. The record is from RNAcentral.
UACGUAGGGUGCGAGCGUUGUCCGGAAUUACUGGGCGUAAAGAGCUCGUAGGUGGUUUGUCGCGUUGUUCGUGAAAACUCACAGCUUAACUGUGGGCGUGCGGGCGAUACGGGCAGACUGGAGUACUGCAGGGGAGACUGGAAUUCCUGGUGUAGCGGUGGAAUGCGCAGAUAUCAGGAGGAACACCGGUGGCGAAGGCGGGUCUCUGGGCAUCUCCUGACGCUGAGGCGCGAAAGCGUGGGGAGCGAACAGG